GUUAAACUUAAAGAUACAACAUGUACGCAAGAUUCAAGAACUUAGAAGAAUCGUAUUUUAUCGAUGGAAGCGAAUAUAAGGGUACUUGGAGCACGUUUGGCAUGGAAGGAGUCGGUAAAUUCAUCAUGCCGCACAGUUAGUAUAUAUUUUAUUCUCUAUCAAGAAAUGUUACAAAAUAAUCUCGAAUAUGUAUUGCUUUACACCUUGCUUGAAUUGUUUGAGAAAAGAAGAAGGGGAAAAAAGUAGCAUAAAAAUACAAAAUAAUUAUAAGAAACAAGAGAUAAAUGAAAUGUAAAUAAAAAAAAUAUAAUAGAAAAAUAUUCACAAUUGAAAUAUAAUAUGAAUGUUAAAUCUUUUAGAACUUGGAAUUACUUGGUUUUGUAAAAUGUACACGUUAACGCCAAUAAUUGUGUCUAAGAUAUGUACAUAUGUAUAGCAUAUAUACUGGUUUUUGAGUACAACAUUGAGCAUUUCUCGCGCGUAAGUCGACGCGUACCGUUAUGCGACCAUUUUCGUCGCUUCGUGUUCUAGAGUUCGUAUGCGUUUUUCAUUUACCUAUAGCUCAAGUAUUUCAGUCUUAAAAUACAUGCAUUCACUACAUUACAAAUUUUAUAAAUCUGUAUUUAUACGCACGCACACACUUUUUCUCUUCCAUUUUUUUUUUUAUCAUAAUCUUUUGAUCUUUUUCUUCUGAUCUUCUUCGUUUCAUUAAAUGAACCGAAUUUAUUUAUUGUAAUAAUAAUAAUAAUAAUAAAAUUAUAAUAGAUGCUAUCUUUGAAGGAGAAUUUCGCGAUAGUACGUUUCAUGGCUAUGGUAGUCUAUAUUGGCCUUGUGGGCAAAGAAUGGACGGAAUUUGGAUCCAAGGUGAAUGUAGAGACAAGCAAUAUGUUUUUAACGAUGGAUUAAAUUUUCUUGAAACUGAUUGGAAGUAUUGCAAAUUUCCUGAUAGACGUCCAUUAGAUACCAACUGUGUCAUAAAUAUGGAUUGAAACCUGUUGGAUUAACUUUACGCACGAAUAAUCAAGACGAAUUUAUCAUUCCUCCUAAGUGUUACGAUGCAGGCAUCGGAAUUUUUAACCCAUCUCAGCAUACUAUUAUUUGCUAUUCAGACUUGAAAAAAGUAUAUACAUCAAAUAGAAAUAUCUUUCAUAUAAUAUAAUAUAUAAUGAUUCAUUAUUAUAUAUUCAAAUUCUGAAAAUAUUCGAAGAUAAUUGAGAUACCAAAUAUCAAAUUCGUUAACUGGAUAAAGGAAAAUUGUCAAAAGGCAUGGUCUGAACCAACUGAAACAAAUAUAAAAGCUUUCUACAAAUAUGAUAAGAAGAUUCCUUCAACAUUAUUACCAUUUUCAAAUAAUUCUUUUGAAUCCUGGUGGAAGAGGUACAAAUAAAAAUAUUCAAUUAUUAAAUAAUUGAAAAUAUUCAUUUUAAUUAUUUCUAUUCUUAUUUCUUUUAAGAUUAACUACUUUUCGUCGAGAUUCUACCUACGAACGAAAAAAAUCCUAUUGUUCAUGCAAAGAUAAAAUAUCAAGCGUUAAAAGAGAUAAAAAUCCCAUUGAAAUCCAUUUGGUUCAAACAGAUAUAGAAAAAAAUAUAUAAAACAGAUAAAAAUAUAAUAAAAAAUAAAUCAUUUUUCUAAUUUAAUAAUUUAAUUUUACUCUUGCUGUAA
This is an unclassified non-coding RNA of Apis florea (little honeybee), 1665 nucleotides long. NCBI's taxonomy places the organism in Eukaryota, Metazoa, Arthropoda, Insecta, Hymenoptera, Apidae. The record is from RefSeq and is a predicted model, not a curated record.